AUGGUGGCGACGGGGGACGCGGAAGAGGCGGCGGCGGGGUGCCGCGCGCGGGCGGCGCUGCUGGGCGGGUACGAGCUGGGCCGCACGCUCGGGGAAGGCAGCUUCGGCAAGGUGAAGCACGCGCGGCACCGCGCCACGGGGGGCCACUUCGCCGUGAAGAUCCUGGACCGCGGCAGGGUGCUCUCCCUCCGCGGCGCCGACGACCAGGUCCGCAGGGAGAUCGCCACGCUCACCAUGCUCGCGCACCCAAACGUCGUCCGCCUCCACGAGGUUGCUGCUAGCAAAACAAAGAUCUACAUGGUGCUUGAGUUUGUCAAUGGAGGAGAACUGUUUGACAGGAUUGCAAUGAAGGGAAAACUAUCCGAACGAGAAGGAAGAAGACUUUUUCAGCAGCUAAUUGAUGGCGUGAGCUAUUGCCAUGGAAAGGGUGUCUACCACAGAGACCUUAAGCCUGAAAACGUUCUGAUUGACCGAAAAGGCAACAUCAAGAUCUCUGAUUUUGGUCUAUGUGCUUUACCUCAACAUCUCGGGAAGGAUGGAUUACUGCAUACAACCUGUGGUAGCCCCAACUAUAUUGCACCUGAGGUUCUGCAGAACAGAGGUUAUGACGGAUCACUGUCGGAUAUCUGGUCUUGUGGAGUAAUUCUUUACAUAAUGCUCAUAGGCCAGCUUCCGUUUGAUGACCGAAAUAUGGUUGUUCUUUAUCAGAAGAUUUUCAAGGGUGACGCUAAGAUCCCGGAGUGGCUUUCGCCUGGUGCACAAAAUAUUAUUAAGAGGAUUCUUGAACCAAAUCCGAUGAAGAGAAUCAACAUGGCAGAGAUCAAACAACACGAAUGGUUUCAGAAAGACUAUAUUCAUGUUGGUCCAUAUGAUGACGAUGAUGAAGAUGUACGGCUUGGUGCAAUUCUGCCUGUGAAACAGAAGCAAAUUAGUGAAGCACCUGGGGACAAGAGUACUCGUCAGAUGAACGCUUUUCAGCUGAUCGGAAUGGCAUCUUCCCUCGAUCUUUCUGGGUUUUUUGAGGAAGAGGGAGUGUCCCAGAGAAAGAUCAGGUUCACAUCAGCACUUCCACCGAAGGAUUUGUUCAACAAGAUUGAAGUAACGGCAACGCAAUCGGGGCUCCACGUUCAAAGAGUGCAUAGCAAGCUCAAAAUAACGGGCAAUUGCAAUGGAGCGAACAACCCUUUGCCAUUCUUAGUCUGUGUCGAGGUGUUUGAGCUCGGCCCCUCUCUGCAUGUUGUUGAGCUUAGGAAGUCCCACGGUGACCCUGCAGUGUACAGACAGCUCUGCGAUAGGAUCUCGGGUGACCUGGGGAUUGACAAGAUAUUCAGGAUGGAGCAGCUCUUUGACGACGAUCUCCCCAGCUUCGACAGCAGAGGCGCGACGCCACUGGUUGCCUUGUGA
RNAcentral lists this ribosomal RNA (1404 nucleotides) under Triticum aestivum (bread wheat). RNAcentral's name for it is "partial small subunit ribosomal RNA". Lineage: Eukaryota; Viridiplantae; Streptophyta; Magnoliopsida; Poales; Poaceae. The record is from RNAcentral.